UGAGUAGGCCGGAUGGUCGCGGACGAUGUGCUGAAAAGCCUCGUACGAGGAAAGUCCGGGCUCCACAGGGCAAAGGUGCCGGGUAAUACCCGGUGAAGGUGACUUUAAGGAAAGUGCAACAGAAAUAAACCGCCUUUCUAGAGGUUAGAUGUUGGAAGUAGUAGGAUUAAAUAUAAACUUAAAUUCUUACAUCCCACUUCUCGCAUCUAACCUCUAGAACGGUAAGGAUGGAAAGGCGAGGUAAGAGCUCACCGACCCCACGGCGACGGAGGGUGCUAUGUAAACCCCACCUGGAGCAACACCGUGAUAAGAAACAUAUAGGCUGCCCGCCUGUUUCUUAGAGGUGGCUAAAGCCUUGUAGCAAUACCAGGCGUAGAUAGAUGAUCAUUCAAGACAGAACCCGGCUUACAGGUCUGCUCAGAUU
This 424-nucleotide RNase P RNA is filed under the name Clostridiaceae bacterium. RNAcentral describes it as "RNase P RNA component class A". It matches the Rfam family "Bacterial RNase P class A". Rfam says of the family: Ribonuclease P (RNase P) is a ubiquitous endoribonuclease, found in archaea, bacteria and eukarya as well as chloroplasts and mitochondria. Its best characterised activity is the generation of mature 5'-ends of tRNAs by cleaving the 5'-leader elements of precursor-tRNAs. The record is from RNAcentral. Lineage: Bacteria; Bacillati; Bacillota; Clostridia; Eubacteriales; Clostridiaceae. RNAcentral also lists the same sequence under 1 other name.